Molecule: ribosomal RNA, 405 nt
Filed under: uncultured bacterium
Lineage: Bacteria
Description: partial 16S ribosomal RNA
Rfam family: Bacterial small subunit ribosomal RNA
Source: RNAcentral
GACGAACGCUGGCGGCGUGCUUAACACAUGCAAGUCGAACGAGUGGCGAAAGGGUGAGUAAUACGUGGGUAACCUGCGCUCUUUUUGGGAUAAGCCUUGGAAACGGGGUCUAAUACCGAAUAAAGGGGGAUGGGCUCGCGGCCUCUCAGCUUGUUGGUGGGGUGAUGGCCUACCAAGGCGGUGACGGGUAGCCGGCCUGAGAGGGUGACCGUCGACAUUGGGACAGAGAUACGGCCCAGACUCCUGCGUGAGGCAGCAGUGGGGGAUAUGGCUGAAUGGGCGCAAGCCGGCUGCCGCGACGCCGUGUGGGUGAUGAAGUUUUUCGGAUUGUAAACAUCUUUCGCUAGCGAUGGGUAGGUGGAUAAGAAGCGCCGGCUAACUACGUGCCAGCAGCCGCGGUAAUUC